This 1749-nucleotide long non-coding RNA is filed under the name Daphnia pulex (common water flea). RNAcentral's name for it is "uncharacterized LOC124198189, transcript variant X1". The record is from RNAcentral. Lineage: Eukaryota; Metazoa; Arthropoda; Branchiopoda; Diplostraca; Daphniidae.
CUGACUUUUGUAAAUAAACAAAAUGGGUAGCCUGCAAUGGUUUAUUGUUUAUUCUGUUUCUUGUCAUUCUUUUUUUUCCAUUUUAAACGGAAAGCGUAAUUUUUGGUUUAACAAAAUUGUAAUACUAAAUUUUUCUUUUUCUGUAGUCUUCUACUGUAUGCUCUCAACUUAAUUUUCACGCAUAAACUAAAAAUCGAAGUCCGUCUAGGGCAAGUCGCCCUACUUCCACCUUCUGUACAAAAUACUUAUUUUUUGUUCAAAAAUUUCACUGUUCACAUUGAUAAAGUGAGAUUAACCUUAUCACUAAUAAAUGCUGAUAGUAAGAGGCUACUGGGGUUGUUGAUUGAAGAUGUCCGAUGCACAAGAGAUUUCAGUGUUAACAGUAACACAUGACUUCAAGCCACUAUUCCGAUUCCAGUUCAAUCUAACAGUCUACUUGACAAAAAUUUACCCAUUCUUACAUUCAUUUGUUCAGGAAUAGGCGAAAAUGUUAGUUUUGAACCAUAUACUUAUCACCAUCACCAUACAAACACUCAUCGGUUUGAAUUUUGUGAUUGCUCUAUUAAUAUUUGAAGACAAUUUCAUCAUCUUUCAGAGCGGACAACCCGACUUCAGUGAACUCAUCCUCAGAUUUCCCUUUCCCUGUGUCCUCGUGUACAUUCGUGUGAGGGUGAAUGUAUUCACGAGAACUUCCUUUCCUUCCGCUCUUUUCCUACCUAGCUGAUUCCAUUGCGACUUUUCCAGCUACGUUCGACUUCCUCAUCCAUUUAAGAUGGUUCCAAACGAUUUCAAGCAAAAGUGUUGCGAAAAGAACCACCUCCUUCCAGUCUUGGCGAGAGAGCCAGAAAACGUCCGAUUGAAAGUGACUCGAGUGUUCCUGCAUCGCAAUUGAAAGGUAGGAUGCAUUUUUGAUGUUACUUUUCCAUCGGCCGGUGCUGCAGCAAAGUUCUAAAUCGCUAAGGGUUUCCCGCUUUUCAUCAUCCUGAUUAGUCCGCUUGUCGACUUGAAAAGCUUUGGCAUUUUUAUGACAAGGAAAUUCAAUGCUGUUGCCAUCAAACGAAGCGUUAGGCUUUUCUUAUUCUCGCCGUUCAUUUAAUUAGGCCAAUUGUUUAAUUUUCUCGAGGAAAUGUGUCACAAUUUAUGUGUAACAAAACGAUCGUGUACAAACCACCGCAGGGGGAAAUGAAUGCUGGUUUUUCUGUUAGUUUUCUUUUUUGAUCGAAUUAAGGACAGUUUUGUUGUGAAUUUUUCACUUGAUGUGGCAAUACUUUUUACUUGAUUGAGUGUAAUCGAUCUUGGAUCAGUUACCUUGGACCAGUUCCCAACCCAGUUCCCAACCCAGUAAAAUCUCUUGAUAAAAAUUGACUACAUUCUCACGACUUUUCUGUAUUGAUGUUAACCGAAAGAUGUCGUCUGUCUGCUGGGACUUUCGGGGAAGAAGAAAAUGUAUUUUUUUUUUUGUUUUUUUUUUCUAACUUGUAAAUUAAGAUGUUGGCUAAUACAGCGAUUUGCGUGCUGAUUGUAUGCCCUCGUAAAGUGGCACCGAUCACGAAUAGAGCGUUAAUGACGACGGCAAGAUAAUUGAUGUUAAAUGACUUGAAGGCCAUUUCUUUUGUCAAACGAUGACGACUAACUGAAAAUGUGUUGACUCGCAGAGCGAUUUUUGAUACAUGCUUUUUAAAUGUAAGCAUUCAAGUUAACAUGUUCACUUUCGACAUCUUUUAAUUAAUCGCUUGGCGGACCCCUGAA